ACAACUGACCACUCAGAACCCUGCAGAGUGU
RNAcentral lists this non-coding RNA (31 nucleotides) under Homo sapiens (human). The record is from RNAcentral. Lineage: Eukaryota; Metazoa; Chordata; Mammalia; Primates; Hominidae.